This 69-nucleotide transfer RNA is filed under the name Zebrias zebra (zebra sole). RNAcentral's name for it is "tRNA-Asp". It matches the Rfam family "tRNA". Rfam says of the family: Transfer RNA (tRNA) molecules are approximately 80 nucleotides in length. Their secondary structure includes four short double-helical elements and three loops (D, anti-codon, and T loops). Lineage: Eukaryota; Metazoa; Chordata; Actinopteri; Pleuronectiformes; Soleidae. The record is from RNAcentral.
AAGAUUCUAGUAAAACUAUUACAUCUCCUUGUCAAGGAAAAGUUGUGGGUUAGACCCCCACGUAUCUUA